AGGACGAACGCUGGCGGCGUGCUUAACACAUGCAAGUCGAGCGGUAAGGCCCUUUCGGGGGUACACGAGCGGCGAACGGGUGAGUAACACGUGGGUGACCUGCCCUUAGCUCUGGGAUAAGCCUGGGAAACUGGGUCUAAUACCGGAUAUGACCUCGCGAUGCAUGUCGUGGGGUGGAAAGCCUUGUGCGGCUAGGGAUGGGCCCGCGGCCUAUCAGCUUGUUGGUGGGGUGAUGGCCUACCAAGGCGACGACGGGUAGCCGGCCUGAGAGGGCGACCGGCCACACUGGGACUGAGACACGGCCCAGACUCCUACGGGAGGCAGCAGUGGGGAAUCUUGCGCAAUGGGCGAAAGCCUGACGCAGCGACGCCGCGUGAGGGAUGACGGCCUUCGGGUUGUAAACCUCUUUCAGCCCUGACGAAGCGAAGUGACGGUAGGGCGAGAAGAAGCACCGGCCAACUACGUGCCAGCAGCCGCGGUAA
Molecule: ribosomal RNA, 482 nt
Filed under: uncultured bacterium
Lineage: Bacteria
Description: SSU rRNA
Rfam family: Bacterial small subunit ribosomal RNA
Source: RNAcentral